AAAUUGAAGAGUUUGAUCAUGGCUCAGAUUGAACGCUGGCGGCAGGCCUAACACAUGCAAGUCGAACGGUAACAGGAAGAAGCUUGCUUCUUUGCUGACGAGUGGCGGACGGGUGAGUAAUGUCUGGGAAACUGCCUGAUGGAGGGGGAUAACUACUGGAAACGGUAGCUAAUACCGCAUAACGUCGCAAGACCAAAGAGGGGGACCUUCGGGCCUCUUGCCAUCGGAUGUGCCCAGAUGGGAUUAGCUUGUUGGUGGGGUAACGGCUCACCAAGGCGACGAUCCCUAGCUGGUCUGAGAGGAUGACCAGCCACACUGGAACUGAGACACGGUCCAGACUCCUACGGGAGGCAGCAGUGGGGAAUAUUGCACAAUGGGCGCAAGCCUGAUGCAGCCAUGCCGCGUGUAUGAAGAAGGCCUUCGGGUUGUAAAAGUACUUUCAGCGGGGAGGAAGGGAGUAAAGUUAAUACCUUUGCUCAUUGACGUUACCCGCAGAAGAAGCAGCGGCUAACUCCGUGCCAGCAGCCGCGGUAAUACGGAGGGUGCAAGCGUUAAUCGGAAUUACUGGGCGUAAAGCGCACGCAGGCGGUUUGUUAAGUCAGAUGUGAAAUCCCCGGGCUCAACCUGGGAACUGCAUCUGAUACUGGCAAGCUUGAGUCUCGUAGAGGGGGUAGAAUUCCGGUGUAGCGGUGAAAUGCGUAGAGAUCUGGAGGAAUACCGGUGGCGAAGGCGGCCCCUGGACGAAGACUGACGCUCAGGUGCGAAAGCGUGGGGAGCAAACAGGAUUAGAUACCCUGGUAGUCCACGCCGUAAACGAUGUCGACUUGGAGGUUGUGCCCUUGAGGCGUGGCUUCCGGAGCUAACGCGUUAAGUCGACCGCCUGGGGAGUACGGCCGCAAGGUUAAAACUCAAAUGAAUUGACGGGGGCCCGCACAAGCGGUGGAGCAUGUGGUUUAAUUCGAUGCAACGCGAAGAACCUUACCUGGUCUUGACAUCCACGGAAGUUUUCAGAGAUGAGAAUGUGCCUUCGGGAACCGUGAGACAGGUGCUGCAUGGCUGUCGUCAGCUCGUGUUGUGAAAUGUUGGGUUAAGUCCCGCAACGAGCGCAACCCUUAUCCUUUGUUGCCAGCGGUCCGGCCGGGAACUCAAAGGAGACUGCCAGUGAUAAACUGGAGGAAGGUGGGGAUGACGUCAAGUCAUCAUGGCCCUUACGACCAGGGCUACACACGUGCUACAAUGGCGCAUACAAAGAGAAGCGACCUCGCGAGAGCAAGCGGACCUCAUAAAGUGCGUCGUAGUCCGGAUUGGAGUCUGCAACUCGACUCCAUGAAGUCGGAAUCGCUAGUAAUCGUGGAUCAGAAUGCCACGGUGAAUACGUUCCCGGGCCUUGUACACACCGCCCGUCACACCAUGGGAGUGGGUUGCAAAAGAAGUAGGUAGCUUAACCUUCGGGAGGGCGCUUACCACUUUGUGAUUCAUGACUGGGGUGAAGUCGUAACAAGGUAACCGUAGGGGAACCUGCGGUUGGAUCACCUCCUUA
RNAcentral lists this ribosomal RNA (1540 nucleotides) under Escherichia coli. RNAcentral's name for it is "bacterial SSU rRNA". It matches the Rfam family "Bacterial small subunit ribosomal RNA". Lineage: Bacteria; Pseudomonadati; Pseudomonadota; Gammaproteobacteria; Enterobacterales; Enterobacteriaceae. The record is from RNAcentral.